This 72-nucleotide transfer RNA is filed under the name Conus tulipa (tulip cone). Its description in RNAcentral is "tRNA-Leu". It matches the Rfam family "tRNA". From Rfam's summary of the family: Transfer RNA (tRNA) molecules are approximately 80 nucleotides in length. Their secondary structure includes four short double-helical elements and three loops (D, anti-codon, and T loops). Lineage: Eukaryota; Metazoa; Mollusca; Gastropoda; Neogastropoda; Conidae. The record is from RNAcentral.
AUCAAAUUAGCAAAGAAAUAUAUGCGAUUGACUUAGGAUCAAUAGACAUAGGUGAAAAUCCUUUAUUUGAUA